This 571-nucleotide ribosomal RNA is filed under the name uncultured bacterium. Its description in RNAcentral is "bacterial SSU rRNA". It matches the Rfam family "Bacterial small subunit ribosomal RNA", at positions 334 to 920 of the family's 1533-position model. The record is from RNAcentral.
GAUUCCUACGGGAGGCAGCAGUGGGGAAUCUUGCGCAAUGGGCGAAAGCCUGACGCAGCAACGCCGCGUGCGGGAAGAAGGCUUUCGGGCUGUAAACCGCUUUCAGCAGGAACGAAAAUGACGGUACCUGCAGAAGAAGGAGCGGCCAACUAUGUGCCAGCAGCCGCGGUGAUACAUAGGCUUCAAGCGUUGUCCGGAUUUAUUGGGCGUAAAGAGUUCGUAGGCGGUCGAGUAAGUCGGGUGUGAAAAUUCUGGGCUCAACCCAGAGACGCCACCCGAUACUGCUUAACUUGAGUUCGAUAGGGGAGUGGGGAAUUCCUAGUGUAGCGGUGAAAUGCGCAGAUAUUAGGAGGAACACCGGUGGCGAAGGCGCCACUCUGGAUCGACACUGACGCUGAGGAACGAAAGCAUGGGUAGCAAACAGGAUUAGAUACCCUGGUAGUCCAUGCGGUAAACGGUGGGCACUAGGUGUGGGUUUCUAUUAACGAAAUCCGCGCCGUCGCUAACGCAUUAAGUGCCCCGCCUGGGGAGUACGGUCGCAAGACUAAAACUCAAAGGAAUUGACGGAAUC